This 243-nucleotide long non-coding RNA is filed under the name Mytilus galloprovincialis (Mediterranean mussel). Lineage: Eukaryota; Metazoa; Mollusca; Bivalvia; Mytilida; Mytilidae. The record is from RNAcentral.
GGCUCGGAGUCAAAAUAAUGUGUGUGGGUAAGGUGGUAUGUCAUCCUGCGCCGGUAGUGCGAACAGUUACCUUGUGAACUAACAUGUUACACAUCCGGCUAAGCGGCCUCGUUCUAGUACAAAGCAGAGUAAAUAUUCAUAAAACAUUAGCAUGUUCUCGUCUUAAUAUGUGCAUAUGUAUUUGCCACUUGACGUUAAGCAGCCAUCCUUUAACAUAUUUGGUCGGGUUCUUGUCUCUUUGAC